RNAcentral lists this microRNA precursor (92 nucleotides) under Pelobates cultripes (western spadefoot toad). Lineage: Eukaryota; Metazoa; Chordata; Amphibia; Anura; Pelobatidae. The record is from RNAcentral.
CAACAUUUCAGUCCCUCUCUGAGACUUUCAUCAGGAUCAAUAAAUAUAUGGUAUUGAUCCUGAUGAAAGUCCCAGAGAGGGACUGAAACGUU